GCAUUUAUGGUCGAGGGGUCGAAGGCACCGGACUCAUAAUCCGUUUUCUUUUAAGAACAACAUUGGUUCAAAUCCAAUUAAAUGCA
Molecule: transfer RNA, 86 nt
Filed under: Nitzschia sp. NIES-3576
Lineage: Eukaryota; Bacillariophyta; Bacillariophyceae; Bacillariales; Bacillariaceae
Description: tRNA-eMet
Rfam family: tRNA
About the family: Transfer RNA (tRNA) molecules are approximately 80 nucleotides in length. Their secondary structure includes four short double-helical elements and three loops (D, anti-codon, and T loops).
Source: RNAcentral